RNAcentral lists this ribosomal RNA (484 nucleotides) under uncultured bacterium. RNAcentral describes it as "partial 16S ribosomal RNA". It matches the Rfam family "Bacterial small subunit ribosomal RNA", at positions 30 to 507 of the family's 1533-position model. The record is from RNAcentral.
AUUGAACGCUGGCGGCAGGCCUAACACAUGCAAGUCGAGCGGAUGAAGGGAGCUUGCUCCUGGAUUCAGCGGCGGACGGGUGAGUAAUGCCUAGGAAUCUGCCUGGUAGUGGGGGAUAACGUCCGGAAACGGGCGCUAAUACCGCAUACGACCUGAAGGAGAAAGUGGGGGAUCUUCGGACCUCACGCUAUCAGAUGAGCCUAGGUCGGAUUAGCUAGUUGGUGGGGUAAAGGCCUACCAAGGCGACGAUCCGUAACUGGUCUGAGAGGAUGAUCAGUCACACUGGAACUGAGACACGGUCCAGACUCCUACGGGAGGCAGCAGUGGGGAAUAUUGGACAAUGGGCGAAAGCCUGAUCCAGCCAUGCCGCGUGUGUGAAGAAGGUCUUCGGAUUGUAAAGCACUUUAAGUUGGGAGGAAGGGCAGUAAGUUAAUACCUUGCUGUUUUGACGUUACCAACAGAAUAAGCACCGGCUAACUUCGUG